AAUAAAAUAUGAGCAAAAGUAUGCUUACAAAAGGACACCGGCCUCAAGCUACACAAGUAGAUUUACUUGAAGCAAACCCAGUGCUGUAUGGUUAAAAUAAGCUACAAUA
Molecule: long non-coding RNA, 109 nt
Organism: Protopterus annectens (West African lungfish)
Lineage: Eukaryota; Metazoa; Chordata; Ceratodontiformes; Protopteridae
Exons: 3
Source: RefSeq, a predicted model, not a curated record